ACGGAGGGUGCGAGCGUUAAUCGGAAUCACUGGGCGUAAAGCGCACGUAGGCGGCGUCGUAAGCCGGAUGUGAAAGCUCUCGGCUCAACCGGGGAACUGCAUUCGAUACUGCGACGCUUGAGUGCCGGAGAGGGUGGCGGAAUUCCAAGUGUAGGAGUGAAAUCCGUAGAGAUCUGGAGGAACACCAGUGGCGAAGGCGACUACCUGGCCUGCAACUGACGCUGAGAUGCGAAAGCCAGGGGAUCAAACGG
RNAcentral lists this ribosomal RNA (251 nucleotides) under uncultured prokaryote. RNAcentral describes it as "partial 16S rRNA". It matches the Rfam family "Bacterial small subunit ribosomal RNA", at positions 525 to 775 of the family's 1533-position model. The record is from RNAcentral.